UCCUGCCGGACCUGACUGCUAUCGGAUUGAUACUAAGCCAUGCGAGUCUUUGUAGUAAUACAAGGCAUACGGCUCAGUAACACGUAGUCAACCUACCCUAUGGACGAGAAUAAUCUCGGGAAACUGAGCAUAAUUCUUGAUAGAUCAUAAUGCCUGGAAUGGUUUAUGGUUGAAAUGAUUCGUCGCCAUAGGAUGGGACUGCGGCCUAUCAGCUUGUUGGUGAGGUAAUGGCCCACCAAGGCGAUAACAGGUACGGGCUCUGAGAGGAGAAGCCCGGAGAUGGGUACUGAGACACGGACCCAGGCCCUAUGGGGCGCAGCAGGCGAGAAAACUUUGCAAUGUGCGAAAGCACGACAAGGUUAAUCCGAGUGAUUUCUGCUAAAGAAAUCUUUUACCAGUCAUAAAACCACUGAUGAAUAAGGGGUGGGCAAGUUCUGGUGUCAGCCGCCGCGGUAAAACCAGCACCUCAAGUGGUCAGGAUGAUUAUUGGGCCUAAAGCAUCCGUAGCCGGCUUUGUUAGUUUUCGGUUAAAUCCAUGUGCUCAACGCAUGGGCUGCCGAAAAUACUGCAUAGCUAGGGAGUGGGAGAGGUAGACGGUACUCAGUAGGAAGGGGUAAAAUCCUUUGAUCUAUUGAUGACCACCUGUGGCGAAGGCGGUCUACCAGAACACGUUCGACGGUGAGGGAUGAAAGCUGGGGGAGCAAACCGGAUUAGAUACCCGGGUAGUCCCAGCUGUAAACGAUGCAGACUCGAUGAUGCAUUGGCAUAAUAGCCAGUGCAGUGUCGCAGGGAAGCCGUUAAGUCUGCCGCCUGGGAAGUACGUACGCAAGUAUGAAACUUAAGGAAUUGGCGGGG
RNAcentral lists this ribosomal RNA (855 nucleotides) under uncultured marine group I thaumarchaeote. Its description in RNAcentral is "SSU rRNA". It matches the Rfam family "Archaeal small subunit ribosomal RNA", at positions 12 to 873 of the family's 1478-position model. Lineage: Archaea; Thermoproteati; Nitrososphaerota. The record is from RNAcentral.